RNAcentral lists this unclassified non-coding RNA (300 nucleotides) under uncultured Pseudomonadota bacterium. RNAcentral describes it as "uncultured proteobacterium partial 16S-23S ribosomal RNA intergenic spacer". The stretch from base 170 to 300 matches the Rfam family "Bacterial large subunit ribosomal RNA", at positions 1 to 131 of the family's 2925-position model. The record is from RNAcentral. Lineage: Bacteria; Pseudomonadati; Pseudomonadota.
ACACAUAAAGAUUUAGAAACGGGACGGCACUGUGGCCGCUCUUGUGUUCUUUGAAAAUGUAAACGAGUGACAAGCGUUUUGGUUCGAAACCGAACCGAGAUGUGUCGUUGAGGCAAUUAAGCGAACGCGUUGUNUGGAAAUAUAGUCCCGAGGCGACUUGGGGUUAUAUGGUCAAGCGACCAAGCGUAUACGGUGGAUGCCUUGGCGGUCAGAGGCGAUGAAGGACGUGGCAGCCUGCGAAAAGUGUCGGGGAGCUGGNCACAAGCUUUGAUCCGGCNAUGUCCGAAUGGGGAAACCCGG